This 301-nucleotide ribosomal RNA is filed under the name uncultured bacterium. Its description in RNAcentral is "partial 16S ribosomal RNA". It matches the Rfam family "Bacterial small subunit ribosomal RNA", at positions 509 to 809 of the family's 1533-position model. The record is from RNAcentral.
CAGCCGCCGCGGUAAUACGAAGGGGGCUAGCGUUGUUCGGAAUUACUGGGCGUAAAGCGCACGUAGGCGGAUUUUUAAGUCAGGGGUGAAAUCCCGAGGCUCAACCUCGGAACUGCCUUUGAUACUGGAGAUCUUGAGUUCGGAAGAGGUUGGUGGAACAGCUAGUGUAGAGGUGAAAUUCGUAGAUAUUAGCUAGAACACCAGUGGCGAAGGCGGCCAACUGGUCCGAUACUGACGCUGAGGUGCGAAAGCGUGGGGAGCAAAUGGGAUUAGAUACCCCUGUAGUCCCUGUCUCUUAUAA